AUUGAACGCUGGCGGCAGGCCUAACACAUGCAAGUCGAGCGGAUGAAGGGAGCUUGCUCCUGGAUUCAGCGGCGGACGGGUGAGUAAUGCCUAGAAAUCUGCCUGGCAGUGGGGGAUAACGUCCGGAAACGGGCGCUAAUACCGCAUACGUCCUGAGGGAGAAAGUGGGGGAUCUUCGGACCUCACGCUAUCAGAUGAGCCUAGGUCGGAUUAGCUAGUUGGUGGGGUAAAGGCCUACCAAGGCGACGAUCCGUAACUGGUCUGAGAGGAUGAUCAGUCACACUGGAGCUGAGACACGGUCCAGACUCCUACGGGAGGCAGCAGUGGGGAAUAUUGGACAAUGGGCGAAAGCCUGAUCCAGCCAUGCCGCGUGUGUGAAGAAGGUCUUCGGAUUGUAAAGCACUUUAAGUUGGGAGGAAGGGCAGUAAGUUAAUACCUUGCUGUUUUGACGUUACCAACAGAAUAAGCACCGGCUAACUUCGUG
This 484-nucleotide ribosomal RNA is filed under the name uncultured bacterium. RNAcentral's name for it is "partial 16S ribosomal RNA". It matches the Rfam family "Bacterial small subunit ribosomal RNA", at positions 30 to 507 of the family's 1533-position model. The record is from RNAcentral.